This 253-nucleotide ribosomal RNA is filed under the name uncultured bacterium. RNAcentral's name for it is "partial 16S ribosomal RNA". It matches the Rfam family "Bacterial small subunit ribosomal RNA", at positions 524 to 776 of the family's 1533-position model. The record is from RNAcentral.
UACGUAGGAUGCAAGCGUUGUCCGGAUUUACUGGGCGUAAAGCGCGCGCAGGCGGCUCUUUAAGUAUGGCGUGAAAUCUCCCUGCUCAACGGGGAGGGUGCGUUGUAGACUGAGGAGCUUGAGGUCGGUAGAGGGGGGUGGAAUUGCUGGUGUAGCGGUGAAAUGCGUAGAGAUCAGCAGGAACACCCGUGGCGAAGGCGGCCCCCUGGGCCGUACCUGACGCUGAGGCGCGAAGGCUAGGGGAGCGACCCGG